This 440-nucleotide ribosomal RNA is filed under the name uncultured bacterium. RNAcentral's name for it is "partial 16S ribosomal RNA". It matches the Rfam family "Bacterial small subunit ribosomal RNA", at positions 338 to 795 of the family's 1533-position model. The record is from RNAcentral.
CCUACGGGAGGCAGCAGUGGGGAAUAUUGCACAAUGGGGGGAACCCUGAUGCAGCGACGCCGCGUGAGUGAAGAAGUAUUUCGGUAUGUAAAGCUCUAUCAGCAGGGAAGAAAAUGACGGUACCUGACUAAGAAGCCCCGGCUAACUACGUGCCAGCCGCCGCGGUAAUACGUAGGGGGCCAGCGUUAUCCGGAUUUACUGGGUGUAAAGGGAGCGUAGACGGCAGAGCAAGUCUGAAGUGAAAGCCCGGGGCCCAACUGCGGGACUGCUUUGGAAACUGCCCGGCUAGAGUGCGGGGGAGGUAGGCGGAAUUCGUAGUGUAGCGGUGAAAUGCGUAGAUAUUAGGAGGAACACCAGUGGCGAAGGCGGCUUGCUGGACAGUAACUGACGUUGAGGCUCGAAAGCGUGGGGAGCAAACAGGAUUAGAUACCCUUGUAGUC